Molecule: ribosomal RNA, 497 nt
Filed under: uncultured bacterium
Lineage: Bacteria
Description: partial 16S ribosomal RNA
Rfam family: Bacterial small subunit ribosomal RNA
Source: RNAcentral
GACGAACGCUGGCGGCGUGCCUAAUACAUGCAAGUAGAACGCUGAAGAGAGGAGCUUGCUCUUCUUGGAUGAGUUGCGAACGGGUGAGUAACGCGUAGGUAACCUGCCUUGUAGCGGGGGAUAACUAUUGGAAACGAUAGCUAAUACCGCAUAACAAUAGGUGACACAUGUCAUUUAUUUGAAAGGGGCAAUUGCUCCACUACAAGAUGGACCUGCGUUGUAUUAGCUAGUAGGUGAGGUAACGGCUCACCUAGGCGACGAUACAUAGCCGACCUGAGAGGGUGGUCGGCCACACUGGGACUGGGACACGGCCCAGACUCCUUCGGGAGGCAGCAGUAGGGGAUCUUCGGCAAUGGGGGCAACCCUGACCGGGCAACGCCGCGUGAGUGAAGAAGGUUUUCGGAUCGUAAAGCUCUGUUGUAAGUCAAGAACGAGUGUGAGAGUGGAAAGUUCACACUGUGACGGUAGCUUACCAGAAAGGGACGGCUAACUACGUG